This is an RNA transcript of Eucalyptus grandis, 986 nucleotides long. RefSeq lists it as uncharacterized. The transcript has 8 exons. NCBI's taxonomy places the organism in Eukaryota, Viridiplantae, Streptophyta, Magnoliopsida, Myrtales, Myrtaceae. The record is from RefSeq and is a predicted model, not a curated record.
UCUAAAUUGGAAAACCCACGCCGGCGCGUUCGGCAACGUUCAAUUCGGACCGGACUUUUUCGGAGGGUUUAUGCUCUGGUCUUUUUCUCGGAGAGGGUUCCUUUGGCACGCUGAAACCAGAAGCCGCAGCGCCGAGCAGCGAGUUUCGCUGCAACCGCAGGUGGCGUUGCAGAGAGAGAUCGGAGAUCGGAGAUCGGGAUGGGAACGAGAGAGGUGUACGAACAGAAGCUGAGGAACGGGAACCUGCACCACGAUCCCACCAUCAACCCCGGCCUCGGAUCGCCGCGCUGCCCUCGCUGCCUCUCCCUCCUGAACCCGCAAGCCGGGAAUGGCGAGUGGACCAUCACUCCCGUCCUGCACGACACCACCGCCGUGGCUGGUUCUGGACUAGGUGCACUGCUUAGUGCUGUUUAUAGUUUUAAUACAGGAAUCCCAUUCAUACAGAAUCGUGUUAGAGGACCCAAAUGGCUUCCUUUUGUUGUUGGGCUUCCCCCGCUGUUGCUCUUUUCUGGGGCCAGUGCUGCAUUUGGAGCUUAUGCCCUCCCCAAGUUUACUCAACUCACUGUGACCUCAUACUACGCUUCCUCAAGUGCAUCUCACUAUUGGAUUUCACUUCUCACUCGGAAAGUUGAGGAAGGUCACACUUCUGAAAUUCAGAGAGGAAAGGUCAAAUGAUUUUGUGCAGAUAGGUAUGAUAUCCAUUCUUUGACGGGAGAGUCAUCUUAACAUUUGCUUGAUCUGCAGUUUGGAUAUAUCCCCUAUGAAUUGCUAGCAGAAAACUAACGCGUGCAAUUGCCAAUUCAGCAAGAUUCUGUGUCCCAACAUCUCCUCAUUCACCUACAAAGAUGCCAAAUAAUGACAAACAAGCUUCUCUCCUCAUAGUUGAUGCACCUUUUGAAAGCCUUAUGGUUUCUGUAUUAGAUAUUUUGUGGAAAGAAAGAGGCACAAGGAACCUGAUAAACAUUCUUACCCAUUCUUGCUCGACA